Molecule: ribosomal RNA, 424 nt
Filed under: uncultured prokaryote
Description: bacterial SSU rRNA
Rfam family: Bacterial small subunit ribosomal RNA
Source: RNAcentral
UGGGGAAUCUUAGACAAUGGGGGCAACCCUGAUCUAGCCAUGCCGCGUGAGUGACGAAGGUCUUAGGAUCGUAAAGCUCUUUCGCCGGGGAAGAUAAUGACGGUACCCGGUAAAGAAACCCCGGCUAACUCCGUGCCAGCAGCCGCGGUAAUACGGAGGGGGUUAGCGUUGUUCGGAAUUACUGGGCGUAAAGCGCGCGUAGGCGGAUGAUCAAGUCGGGGGUGAAAUCCCGGGGCUCAACCCCGGAACUGCCUUCGAUACUGGUCGUCUAGAGUUCGAGAGAGGUGAGUGGAAUUCCGAGUGUAGAGGUGAAAUUCGUAGAUAUUCGGAGGAACACCGGUGGCGAAGGCGGCUCACUGGCUCGAUACUGACGCUGAGGUGCGAAAGCGUGGGGAGCAAACAGGAUUAGAUACCCGCGUAAUCC